This 768-nucleotide long non-coding RNA is filed under the name Homo sapiens (human). RNAcentral describes it as "HSALNT0401779". Lineage: Eukaryota; Metazoa; Chordata; Mammalia; Primates; Hominidae. The record is from RNAcentral.
AGUGCUGGCGCAAGUCGUCUUGCGCCAGGCGACUGGGUCUGAGGAGGCAGGAGUUAUUCAUUCCCUUAAGCUUUCAGGCCGGGGGGAGAAUCUUUCAGGUGGUAGCUGCAAGAACUCUUAGUAUGUUGACCUCACCUCUGCCUUCCACAUACCACUACCAGUGAGGAAUUAGGAAUGCAUGAGAAGAGUGUCCAAGAAGAGUGUCCUCAUUCAUGCAAGGCUUAAGAGAGAAUGCAGGUCAACAUCACCAUGUCAAUCAGAGGUGCAGAUGCUGAGAGCACUUUCUAGUCAAGUCCUGCAUGUUCAUUUCUGUCUCAAGUCAGCUUCUCUGAGAAUCCAAUUUAUAAAAAUAUAUUUGUGAAUGUAUAAGUAAAGUGACUUGGAUUUUGUCUACGUACAAGGACUUCUAUGCCUGCAUAAAACAGCUUUCAGAGUGACUAACCAUACCAGUUUGACCAAGACUGUAUUGGCUGCAGCACUUAAAAGCUCACAUCCCGGAAAUCCUUUGGUCCUCGGUGAAUUGGGAUGGUUGGUUACCCUAUUACUGAUGAUUGUAAUUCUCAGUUUGGAACCAGCAGCAGCAGCAGCUCCCCAGACCUACUGAAUCAGAAUCUACAUUUUGAUAAGAGCCCAGGGUGACUCCAUGUACGUGAAAAAGUUUGAGAAGUCCUUAGACCUACAGUUCACAGCUUCUCCUUCUUUCUUAUUCAACUGAAUUGCAGUGGGACCUGAGUAUGGUUAAAAUAAAUGAAUAAAAACACAAAUCAA